This is a long non-coding RNA of Herpailurus yagouaroundi (jaguarundi), 1688 nucleotides long. RefSeq lists it as uncharacterized. NCBI's taxonomy places the organism in Eukaryota, Metazoa, Chordata, Mammalia, Carnivora, Felidae. The record is from RefSeq and is a predicted model, not a curated record. The transcript is spliced from 2 exons.
AGUGGGCAGGGGCCGGGGACGCUAAACCUGCAAUGCUCAGGAAGAUCCUACCCCAGUGCCAAUAGCACCCUCCUGCAGAAACACCAGUAGAUGGUCUCUUAGGGUUCCAGCAAUUAAUUCAGUGACUUUAUGGUUUUGUCUCUCCCUAUACGUCCUUUUAUGCUUCUUACUCUCUGGGGGAGUGAAAUCUGUUUCUCCUGAAUACUUUCCUGUCUCUCUGUCACAAGAGACCAGAGCUCCCUUUUGGUGGAAACUGAUCUAAACCAUAGAAGGGUCACUUUGGACCUCGGGACUGUUGCUGUAGUCCCUUCUUGCUUUCAGCAGCCGCAGUGACCAGCAUCAGCCUGGUACAUCCCCCAGGUACUGUGUAUAAAGCUCGUAAUAGCCUAUAAUGGAGUCUCAUGGAUAUUACAUGCUUCCAAAUCCCACAUUAUCUGGUUGGGGGGAUUAAAGAGAAGAUUGGGAGGGGGUAGGGACACAGCAGGCCCCAGGGCCGGUGUCAGUACACAGAGCCGCGCAGCGUGGCCAAUCCAUUGGCCACGGCCCCCGCCUACCCGGCAUCCACCACUGGUGAGAAAGCAGUGAGAGCCUCUGCCUCUUCAAAGCUUAGCAGAGGAAAGAUGCUGUCGAAUCCCCACUCGUCAGCCGGGUCCUUUCCCCGUGGCCCCCAAAAGGACUUCAGAUGGGUUCUCAGGGAAUGAAAACUUGCCUGGCAGACUUCUCAGUGGAGAGGAUAAUUCAGAAGUCAUGCAAGGAUAUGUUCUUGAGCCCUUUCUACCCUCUGGGGCUGUGGCUGGGGAGAAUUCUGGGAAAGACCUGGCUGAACCCUCACCUCCGCGGUUACAAUGUCAGAUCCCUGGCUCAGAAAUGUCAGAGCAACGUAUUCCAACCCCUGCCUGCAACAGAGCAACCUCCGUCUCUCAGUCUCUCCCCGUCUCUCGGUCUCUCCCCGUAGACUGGGAGACUCAGUCACUUUCUUUCCUCCCUUCCUCUCUCCCACCCUCCCUCCCUUUCUUCCCUCUUUCUUCCCUUGAAGUAAGAAGCCCUCUUACAGGAAUGUACUGUAUGGGGAAAACAAACUCAUGCCAAGACAACGGGCAAAUCAGUCGAAUUAUGAAACGCUGAGUGAUGUUCUAAUUCCCAAGCCAUCCUGCGGUGGAUGAAGCGGGCGCUCCCGUCCCUAGGAGUAAUCAGUGAGCUGAUUCCGCCGAUGCGUUUGGGAAAUUCUCAUUUUCCGUGGAUCACAGCUGAGCUAUUUGGCCUGAGGGAAACCGCGCACGGCUGGAGAAAUGCCUCCGAUUGGAGAGAGAGAUUUUUGACCAUUAUGAGCAAAUCGGAAAUAAAUGUAAAACACUGCCUGGAAAUGCAAAGGCCUGUCAUUAUGGGAGAUAGGUGAGAGGCUCCUGUGGGAAAUGCUUAGAGAAUUGGAAAUCAGUCAGUCAAAACCAGGAUCAGAGAAUGGGCCUUUUCCCCCCAGUAUGAAGAUAGAUGACUUCCAUGGGCGGAUUGAAAAUCAUUUAAAUGCUUAUUUUCUUAAUGGCUUUUCCUAGAUCCCAAUAAACAGACCGGCUAGUUCUGCAUCAAUUUCUCACCCCUGUGCUCUGGGUCUCCCUGUGCUCUUUCUGCUCAGAUCUAGGCUACAAAGUUAGGGGAGGGGAGGCAUGAGAGGAGACAAGGCCGUCGCAAGG